Molecule: ribosomal RNA, 470 nt
Filed under: uncultured bacterium
Lineage: Bacteria
Description: bacterial SSU rRNA
Rfam family: Bacterial small subunit ribosomal RNA
Source: RNAcentral
GAUGAACGCUGGCGGUCUGCUUAACACAUGCAAGUCGAACGAACUCUUCGGAGUGAGUGGCGGACGGGUGAGUAACGCGUGGGUAACCUACCCCAUACACAGGGAUAGCCAUUGGAAACGAUGAUUAAUACCUGAUAACACAUAAUGGUCGCAUGACUAUGAUGUCAAAGAUUUAUCGGUAUGGGAUGGACCCGCGUCUGAUUAGCUAGUUGGUGAGGUAAAAGCUUACCAAGGCGACGAUCAGUAGCCGACCUGAGAGGGUGAUCGGCCACACUGGAACUGAGACACGGUCCAGACUCCUACGGGAGGCAGCAGUGGGGAAUAUUGCACAAUGGGCGCAAGCCUGAUGCAGCAACGCCGCGUGAGCGAAGAAGGUCUUCGGAUCGUAAAGCUCUUUUUUCUUUAGGGAAGAAAAAUGACGGUACCUAAGGAAUAAGCACCGGCUAAAUACGUGCCAGCCGCCGCGGUAA